AUUGAACGCUGGCGGCAUGCCUAACACAUGCAAGUCGAACGGGGUAGGGGCAACUCUACUUCAGUGGCGGACGGGUGAGGAAUGCGUCGGAAUCUACCCUAUGGUGGGGGAUAACACAGGGAAACUUGUGCUAAUACCGCAUGAUGUCGAGAGACCAAAGCAGGGGACCGCAAGGCCUUGCGCGAUAGGAUGAGCCGACGCCCGAUUAGCUAGUUGGUAGGGUAAAGGCCUACCAAGGCGACGAUCGGUAGCUGGUCUGAGAGGAUGAUCAGCCACACUGGGACUGAGACACGGCCCAGACUCCUACGGGAGGCAGCAGUGGGGAAUAUUGGACAAUGGGCGCAAGCCUGAUCCAGCAAUGCCGCGUGUGUGAAGAAGGCCUGCGGGUUGUAAAGCACUUUUGUUCGGGAAGAAAACGGAUCGGUUAAUACCCGGUUCGGAUGACGGUACCGAAAGAAUAAGCACCGGCUAACUUCGUGCCAGCAGCCGCGGUAAGG
Molecule: ribosomal RNA, 497 nt
Filed under: uncultured bacterium
Lineage: Bacteria
Description: bacterial SSU rRNA
Rfam family: Bacterial small subunit ribosomal RNA
Source: RNAcentral